Long non-coding RNA from Folsomia candida, 226 nucleotides. RefSeq lists it as uncharacterized. The transcript is spliced from 2 exons. NCBI's taxonomy places the organism in Eukaryota, Metazoa, Arthropoda, Collembola, Entomobryomorpha, Isotomidae. The record is from RefSeq and is a predicted model, not a curated record.
CUGACUCUGCUCUUUAAUGUUCUUAAUCAACGAGACAGCCCCGCCACGAAGGCUGCUGAAGAGAGAUCCGCCCCCACUGCAAAUAACAAUGAUAAAUAUUCAUCAAUCAAAAAUCGUUUGGAUUAGGGGCUAAAAUUACACAAAUGUUGGUACUUGUUUUUUGUGAGUGUUCAUAUUUUUGUAUACAGUUUUACAAUAAAAUUUAAAAUAUUUUACUAACUGUCAA